RNAcentral lists this ribosomal RNA (484 nucleotides) under uncultured bacterium. RNAcentral describes it as "partial 16S ribosomal RNA". It matches the Rfam family "Bacterial small subunit ribosomal RNA", at positions 29 to 507 of the family's 1533-position model. The record is from RNAcentral.
AUUGAACGCUGGCGGCAUGCUUUACACAUGCAAGUCGAACGGCAGCGCGGGCUUCGGCCUGGCGGCGAGUGGCGAACGGGUGAGUAAUGCAUCGGAACGUGCCCAGUAGUGGGGGAUAGCCCGGCGAAAGCCGGAUUAAUACCGCAUACGACCUGAGGGUGAAAGCGGGAGACCGAAAGGCCUCGCGCUAUUGGAGCGGCCGAUGUCGGAUUAGCUAGUUGGUGGGGUAAAGGCUUACCAAGGCGACGAUCCGUAGCUGGUCUGAGAGGACGACCAGCCACACUGGGACUGAGACACGGCCCAGACUCCUACGGGAGGCAGCAGUGGGGAAUUUUGGACAAUGGGGGGAACCCUGAUCCAGCCAUGCCGCGUGCGGGAAGAAGGCCUUCGGGUUGUAAACCGCUUUUGUUCGGGAAGAAAUCCUCUGGGCUAAUACCCCGGGGGGAUGACGGUACCGGAAGAAUAAGCACCGGCUAACUACGUG